AACAAAACAACACAUACCCAGUUGGUCUCCAACCUUGAAGGUUUGGCCUGAAGCCCAUGAGUUGAGAUCGACGGAUUCUUCCCACCCUUGGCUACCCCCAACAGCGUGUUGGGCUCCAUACACUCCUUUUGUUGUAAUAACAAAGGCAACAAGGGCCAACACCAAUGAAGAAACUCUGUGCGCUCCCUUCAUUCUCACUGUCUUCACUCCACUUUUUCUGUCAUGUUCUUCGUAAUCCCCACUAUAUAUAAUGCUGCAAUACACAGAAAAAUAUAAUAUGUCCAUAUAAACUCACUGUCAAUGUCCCUAUCUUUAGUUUAGUUAAUAUGUCUACCGAUGAUGUGAUAUAUGAUCUAGAAUACUUACGACCCAUGAUACUUUCUCAACAAGCCUGCAAUAUUAUACUACAUUGGCCUUUGGAUAACAGUCUUUGAGUUGGGAUUUUGAGGUGAAAGAGGGGCAAAGUGUUUGGAUGUCUGAGUUUCUUAAUUGCCCAUGAAGCAAACAUUGGUUGGUUAAAGGUCUCGGAAGCUUUGAGUUGAAACUAAGAUAUGUUGAUGGACAUUCUAGGAGAUAUCAUCAUUGUCCAGGGAGCUUAGACAUUGUAUUUUGAUAUAUCAGAUAUGGAGGAAUCUUAAGACAACCUGAAUUGCUAAUGAAGUUUGGUGACUUGUUACUUAUCAUUAGCCCAAUAAGCUAGCUUUCUGGUCAAUAAAUUACGGCCUCAUCAUAAAGUAGAU
This 740-nucleotide long non-coding RNA is filed under the name Carica papaya (papaya). RNAcentral's name for it is "long non-coding RNA (CPAP_LNC005034)". The record is from RNAcentral. Lineage: Eukaryota; Viridiplantae; Streptophyta; Magnoliopsida; Brassicales; Caricaceae.